Molecule: long non-coding RNA, 954 nt
Organism: Gavialis gangeticus (Gharial)
Lineage: Eukaryota; Metazoa; Chordata; Crocodylia; Gavialidae
Exons: 2
Source: RefSeq, a predicted model, not a curated record
UCUAUGUUUAAGAUAGACUAAAGGUGGAGGCUAAUUUAAGGAUAAAAACAUUGCAGAGAUGUUAUUAUCCCAAAAAUAAACACUAUAAACCUGGGAAAUUUGGGGUUAAGAUUUCACUGUUCGUUAUGAAGACCUUAGUGUAGCUGGCUAUAACAGGGCAUACUUACCAUAUACAAGCUCCAUAUUCACCAUAAAAAUCUCCUUUUCAGUGUAUACAACAUAAAUAAUUUGGUGUACAUUUUUUAUUUUCUCUUUCCAAAGGAAUAUUAUCAUAUUGAAUAUACAUAGUUUAGUAGGUUAACAUCACUGCAUAAACAAUGAACUAUCCAUGAGCACUGUAUCAAAGUAGAAACAGACUACCUCCACAGUAACAUCUUUGCAGCUGACAGCAAAGGAAUGUAUUUUUGCCUGAUGACUAGGUCACAGAGCAGACAGCUUAUUUAUAUAACUUGAUUUACCAAUGUCCUGCAUAAGGAAUGAAACCUUGCUCUAAAUUGUAAUCCUUUGACCUCUAAAUGGCCAGUGAUUUAUAGCACCACAAAGAUGGUACACUAUACUUAACAGUUUGAGGACACCAUUUAAAGGGAACUUUUACACCAUAACUACAUUUGUAAUAAUACACUUGCAAUUCCAAUUACAGACCAUUUGCUGAACCAAGAAAUACUUUUUAUGUGUUUUGAAAUGAAGAAUUCACCUUUGUUAUAAAUAUAUUGUACUCAAAUGGAAAACAGUUUUCAGAAUAUAUAUCCAAAUUCAUAACACCUAAUAUUCAAACACUAAGUACUGGAAACAGAGGGAAAGAAUGAGAUCCAUGGAAGUCAAAUGGAAAAUAAAAUGAUACAUCUGAUGUAAAAGCACACUAUGUAAACAAGAUGAUGUCAUGAAAUGUGACUCAAUUUUCUCUGUAAGUUAGAGUUACUAGCUGUUUUACUCAAUAAAGUUGUCCAAUUAGGU